GACGAACGCUGGCGGCGUGCUUAACACAUGCCAGUCGAACGGAAAGGCCUGCUUUCCCUUGUGGAUUGCGGGUACUCGAGUGGCGAACGGGUGAGUAACACGUGAGUGAUCUGCCCCCAACUUGGGUAUAAGCCUGGGAAACUGGGUCUAAUUCCCGAUAGGACUGCAGGGUGGUGCCUGUGGUGGAAAACGAUUUUCUAGUGGUUGGGGAUGAGCUCGCGGCCUAUCAGCUUGUUGGUGGGGUAAUGGCCUACCAAGGCGGCGACGGGUAGCCGGCCUGAGAGGGUCGACGGCCACAUUGGGACUGAGACACGGCCCAGACUCCUACGGGAGGCAGCAGUGGGGAAUAUUGCACAAUGGGCGGAAGCCUGAUGCAGCGACGCCGCGUGGGGGAUGACGGGCUUCGGGUUGUAAACUCCUUUCGACCGAGAGGAAGCCACCUGGUUGGAAGGGUGGUGACGGUAGUGGUAGAAGAAGCACCGGCUAACUACGUG
RNAcentral lists this ribosomal RNA (494 nucleotides) under uncultured bacterium. RNAcentral's name for it is "partial 16S ribosomal RNA". It matches the Rfam family "Bacterial small subunit ribosomal RNA", at positions 28 to 507 of the family's 1533-position model. The record is from RNAcentral.